AGUGAACGCUGGCGGUAGGCCUAACACAUGCAAGUCGAACGGCAGCACAGUAAGAGCUUGCUCUUACGGGUGGCGAGUGGCGGACGGGUGAGGAAUACAUCGGAAUCUACUUUUUCGUGGGGGAUAACGUAGGGAAACUUACGCUAAUACCGCAUACGACCUACGGGUGAAAGCAGGGGAUCUUCGGACCUUGCGCGAUUGAAUGAGCCGAUGUCGGAUUAGCUAGUUGGCGGGGUAAAGGCCCACCAAGUCGACGAUCCGUAGCUGGUCUGAGAGGAUGAUCAGCCACACUGGAACUGAGACACGGUCCAGACUCCUACGGGAGGCAGCAGUGGGGAAUAUUGGACAAUGGGCGCAAGCCUGCUCCAGCCAUACCGCGUGGGUGAAGAAGGCCUUCGGGUUGUAAAGCCCUUUUGUUGGGAAAGAAAAGCAGCAGGUUAAUACCCCGCUGUUCUGACGGUACCCAAAGAAUAAGCACCGGCUAACUUCGUG
Molecule: ribosomal RNA, 492 nt
Filed under: uncultured bacterium
Lineage: Bacteria
Description: partial 16S ribosomal RNA
Rfam family: Bacterial small subunit ribosomal RNA
Source: RNAcentral